Molecule: ribosomal RNA, 241 nt
Filed under: uncultured bacterium
Lineage: Bacteria
Description: partial 16S ribosomal RNA
Rfam family: Bacterial small subunit ribosomal RNA
Source: RNAcentral
CGACCGGCGCACGGGUGCGUAACGCGUAUGCAACCUACCUUUAACAGGGGGAUAACACUGAGAAAUUGGUACUAAUACCCCAUAAUAUCAUAGAAGGCAUCUUUUAUGGUUGGAAAUUCCGAUGGUUAGAGAUGGGCAUGCGUUGUAUUAGCUAGUUGGUGGGGUAACGGCUCACCAAGGCGACGAUACAUAGGGGGACUGAGAGGUUAACCCCCCACACUGGAACUGAGACACGGUCCAG